This 220-nucleotide long non-coding RNA is filed under the name Capsella grandiflora. RNAcentral's name for it is "long non-coding RNA (CGRA_LNC000393)". The record is from RNAcentral. Lineage: Eukaryota; Viridiplantae; Streptophyta; Magnoliopsida; Brassicales; Brassicaceae.
AACAACAGCGAAAAAACAAAAGAGAGAAUGAAGCGUUCUUUAUAAAACUAGGGUUUUUGUUUUAAUUUUGAUUAAACCAGGGUUUACCUAAACCGACAUUAAUUAAACCUUUUUUGAUUCAAUUAAACAAAUCGACCAGUUUAGGAAAUCCACCGGAAUUAAACCGACUCCACCCUAAUUCUUAUACAUAUUCAAGUCUCCUAUUAAUUUCCAGAACACA